AACCAAUGUUUACAUUACAGAAAGAAUAAACCAAAAGGGAUUUAUAGGUUUUAAACAUUAAGCUGUACAAAGUGUCUAAUCAAUAACAGUGCUGGCUAGACUAAACCGGUGUCUAAGUUUUUUUUAACAGGUAGCUAGUUUUGACAAACUUUUAGGUCAUUAUCUAAACCUACCAAAGGUGCAAAAAAAAUAACAGGGUGUAACACAAGACCUACUCAUCAUCCUACAAAAGCUUACAACCUAAACGGGUCUACAAUCUACUCAACAAGAACGUCGAAAGGUAUCUAAUCUAAAACAGACUAACUGGGAAUACCGAUUUGGAACGAUGAUGCACUGCUGAAGAUGAUAGAUACGGGGAUUCUAAAGAGGUCUAAUUUAUAGAGCAAGAUGUAAGCUACCAGAUGCAAAAAUAAUUUCUUAAAUAGGAUCUACGGAACAAAAGAUAUGGUGUAUAGAAGUAGGCUAAUCAAAACAGACUGCAGCCCGAAAACAGAGCAAGAAAGCUCACCGGAGAAGAUGGAGUUCGCCGGAGUUGAUGGGAGUCGGCGAAACAGAGGUUUCCGGAGGCAAGGCUGUGGUGUAUGGUGUUCUAGGCGUUGAUAGGGAUCUAAAGGUGGUGGUGGCUCGGGCUAAUUUGGGGCGAGGCGGUAGGAAUUGCUCGCCGGAGUUUGCGUGGAAACGGCGACAAAACUUGAAAUUGGUGGCAAGGUUGACUGCGGCUUCGAGCUAGAUUUCGAGGGAUUGGUCCGGGCUCUCGAGGGCGUCA
RNAcentral lists this long non-coding RNA (766 nucleotides) under Brachypodium distachyon (stiff brome). Its description in RNAcentral is "long non-coding RNA (BDIS_LNC004661)". Lineage: Eukaryota; Viridiplantae; Streptophyta; Magnoliopsida; Poales; Poaceae. The record is from RNAcentral.